UAACACCAGCGCCACGAGUGGCAAUCAUGUUUAUUGGGCUUAAAGUGUUCGUAGCCGGUUUGGUAAGUUCUUUGUGAAAUCGCUGGGCUUAACCUAGCGGCGCGCAAAGAAUACUGCUGGACUUGGGACCGGGAGGGGUCAGAGGUAUGUCCAGGGGAGCGGUAAAAUGCUAUAAUCCUGAGUGGACCACCUGUGGCGAAGGCGUCUGACCAGAACGGGUCCGACGGUGAGGAACGAAAGCUAGGGGAGCAAAACGGAUUAGAUACCCGUGUAGUCCUAGCUGUAAACGCUGCGAGUUAGGUGUUGCACAUUCUAUAUGUGUGUGCAGUAUCGUAGUGAAAGCAUUAAACUCGCCGCCUGGGGAGUACGGUCGCAAGGCUG
RNAcentral lists this ribosomal RNA (381 nucleotides) under uncultured archaeon. RNAcentral's name for it is "bacterial SSU rRNA". It matches the Rfam family "Archaeal small subunit ribosomal RNA", at positions 471 to 851 of the family's 1478-position model. The record is from RNAcentral.